CAGUCGUACCGGCGGAUAAUCAGCCUUUCGGGUGCGAUUCUGUGGGGCGUGAGGAGCUUAACCGCUUUCAUGUUUUGCAUAUUCGUGCACAUUUGGUGUACUUGUCCGUGUGGUGGGUUAACAUCAAUUUCGGUCGUCAUAAAAUGACUGGAGGAAUGUAGCUUUGGUCUCGUAUCGAAGUGUUAUAGACUCUGGUAGAUGUGACGUAUUGGGGAUUUGGAGGUAUUGGAC
This 231-nucleotide ribosomal RNA is filed under the name Rhizophagus intraradices. Lineage: Eukaryota; Fungi; Glomeromycota; Glomeromycetes; Glomerales; Glomeraceae. The record is from RNAcentral.